AGUCCGCCAAGGUUGUUAAGAUAUUUACAUGUGAAACACAUUUUUAUUUUUAAAACAAGUCGUUCCUUGGCAUUGGUCAAGUUACACAUUCACGUGGGGGUUCGAUGUGAAGUGAGCUCUAAUACUACCCCGGGAGUUACCCUCCUCGCCUUUACAACUGGAGUAAUUAUGUAACCGGGUUUACCGUGCCCCUCUAAUAGACAGUCCACGAAAACCCGUCACUGUAGUGAGUAAACCCACCAAUUUUAAUAAAAUUUCGACAGUAUAACGUGGCUUUUAUUUAUUUACCCAGCCUGCAUAGUAAAAACAACUUACAUAAAUUCCCAAUGCAAUUUAUCAAAUAUAGCCACAUAUACUCAUAUUUCAAAAUAUAUAUUUCAAAAUAAUUGGCAGCCUCGAAUUACUCAAUUUCAUAAUCAACAAAAUAUAUUUUUAUUUGUCACAUUUAUUUCUAAAACAUCAAAAAUCCCGUUUUAAUCUCGUUUUCAUUUCAUAAAAUACAUAAAGAGCAUUUAAAAAUAAACUCUAGAUAAUUUACAAUAAUAAUAGGUUUCUCACCGUUCGUACAAAUUAACUGAUUUUUUUAGGUGCCUCGAUCACUGUUCGUCGGGUACGACUUCCUUGCCUUUAUCGGAAGGCUCUCCUCCUAAACACAUUGCAAAAUUUACCCAAUUCACCACAUUGAUGUUAAAUCUCUAUAUAAUUGACUUAAAUCCUAUACUAAUGCAUGGUAUGAAAUGCAAUUGCCUAAAACGGCUUAAACGCAGUAUUAACCUAUUUUUGGCACUUUACCAGUUAAAUUGCUAACGCGCUCCAUUUUAGCUAUAAAUUGUCAUAUUUUCUCCACAACAUUUCUAACCAUUAAAUAUUAACCAAUAACCUUCUAAAAUCACCAAAAUCAGCUCACUUUCCUCCUUGGAAAAUUCGGUCAAAAAUGGAACAUUUACUCGGUUAAUUUUCCACUUUGUUUUUCUAUCACAUUUAACCAUUUUUCAUCAUUUUCUCUUCAUUUCUCUUAGAAUAAAAAUCAGUUCAUCAUCAUUGUACAUCAAUGCAUAUUCAGCCAAGGGUGGGUAUUGUGAAAAUUUCAUGCUUUCUUGCCCAAUUUAAUUUCUAUACACAUUUAACUAACUAAAACUACCAAUUUAACUAAAAAUCAAAACCUAAAAAUUUUAAAAUCUCUCCCCUAGAAUUUCGGCCAACCCUUGGUUUCACUUUUUGAUCUCUCUCCUCAAGCAUGCUUAAUGGAAAUAAAGGCAUAGGAAAGGUAAAAAUCAAGCUAAAAUUGAAAAAUCUUACCGUUAGACUCGUAAACGGAGAAAAAACGCGAUUUCCCCUUUGAAUUUUCUAGUUUUCCUUUGUUUUUCUCUUUUCUUCCUUUCCUCACUAUUUUAUCUCUUGUUCUUUCCUUAUGGCCAGUCAACACUUAAUAUGGGGUUUAAAUGGGCUGACUUUUCAUUAAUAUAAGAUUAAAUCAUUAAAAAGUGCCAUGUGUCACUUUCCCAUUGGCCCGUUUUUAAAAUUUCAUCCAUUUGUUUCCAAAUUUUCACCAUACACUUGUCCCACAUAUCCAUAGCUUAGAUACAAUUCUCAGACUUAUCCAAAGUCUUGGUGGAGUAAUUUUUGAAAUUUACACUUUUACCACCGUAAAAGUAAAAAAUUACAUUUUUGCCCAAAAACUGAAAAAUUGCCCAUAGACAUAUUUUUCAUCCCUUAUACUCAUACCAUUUCCCAAUUUGUCAAAUUUGAUCUAAAUUCUCUCAAAAUCUCAAAUUUUAUCCUCGAGUGGCAAAAUUACGAUUUUAUCCCUAAACAUCAAAAUUUCCAAUUUUACCCCAAAUGAACCCUUGAACUCCGAACAAUCAUUUUUAGUCAUUCUUGGACUAUAAAAUAUUAAAUUUCAUCCUACAAUUCCUAUUUGAACUAGUUCGAGGUUAAAUCAACUCAAGUGUACCGUUAGGUACAAUACCGGGUUCCAUCAUUCUUAGGACUUUCUUAGUGUAAUAACAUGCUACUCAAUGCAUGUAUGUCAUGACAUGUGUUUAUAGGGUCGGGUUUUACACCGUGCCUCUCUAAUAGGUUGGUCCACAAAAUCAGCCCACUGCAGCAAGCUAAACCCACCAUACAAUAAAAAUUCAACAGCAUGAUAUGGCAAUUUUAUCAUUAUCCAGCCUAUCAAGGCGAACAACAGUUUAUACAUUUCAACACAAAUACCAAUUCAGUCAUGCAUGCCAAUAUUGUCAUAAGCCAAUCAAUUAGAACUAUAAAUUCACAAUACAUCAAAUGGUCUCCAAUUACUCUAUUUUCAAAGCCUUCAUUCAAUUUCAAGACCAUUUAUGAAAUCAUUUUAUUUAAACACAUUUUGUUUAUAAAACCUAAAAAUUUACCAUUUAAACUCAUUUUUCAUAAAAUCACAAAAUCGGAUAAAAACCACUAUAGAUAAUUAAGACGAUAGUAAGGUUCACAAUGUCUAGAGUGCGAAUUUUCAAAGUACUUUGACUACUGGUCCUCGGAUGCAAUUUCCUUACCUUAAUCGGAAGACUCACCACCUUGACAUAGUACAAAAUCGAGAAACUUACUACAUUGGUACUAAAUCGAAAUUAAACUAAUUUAGACUACUAAUGCAUGAUAUGGAAUGCAAAAUGCACGAGUAACCAACUAAACCCAUAUUGGCCUAAUUCGUCUUAUCACCCGAUUAAUUGGCCAACGUGUCCAAUUUAGCUCCAAAUUGCUCCAUUUCUUUUCCAAUACCUUAAUUCACCAAACACAAGUCAAAUAACCUAAAAUUUGGCAAAACCAUCUUCACUUUUCUUCUUAGAAUUUUCGGUCAAUAAUGGUGCAUUAACACCGUGAUGUUUCCUACUACUUUUCCACACCAUAAUUCAUCAUUUUCUAACCAAUUCUCUUAAAAUAAAAAAUCAAAUUCAUCCUCACUCAAUACAAGGUAGGUUCGGCCAUUGAUGGGUGCUGGGGAAAAUGAAUUCUUUUUUUAUUGUUUUGCUUCUAGAUAUGGUAUACUAACUAAAAACACUAACAUAACUUGAAAUCAAAUGAAUCCAACAUCAUUCUCUCUUCAUACCCAUUCAGCUAGCCAUGAAUUCACCAUGAAAACAUGAAAUUUAACCAUGAAAAAUAAGGAGAAAUGCUUAAGGAAAAUAGAUUUCAAGUUUAAAUUGAGAAAUCCUACCUUUUUCACUUGUUUUCCUUGAUUUUCCACACUUUUUCUCUUGUAAUUCUCCACCUAGGAUUCUUGUUCUUUCUUUUCUUCCUUUGUUCUUCUUUGGCCGGCCAUAUGAAAGAGAAAUAGGCUGAUUUUGUGCUAAUUUAUAAAGAAAAUAAUGAAUGGAUGAGAUUUUGACACAUGUCACCAUUCCACUAGUCCAUGUGUCAUACUUUGCCAUUAAGCAAUCUCUCUCCACCACUUAAAUUUUCUCAAUUAUCCAUGAUAAUAUUGGGUAAAAUCCAUGUGCUGGACAAGUGUUGGGUGGUGUAAAAUUACAAUUUUGCCCCUAGGGUGGCAAAAUGACUAUUUUACCCCUAUGCUCGAAAAAAUGUCAAAAUUAAAAUUCUUCAUUUCUCAAACUCAUAUUUUACUCCAAAUGAUCAAUCUUGAUCAAAAACUUCUUCCAACAUUCCAAUUUUUAACCUCAGGUGGCAAAAUGACUAUUUUACCCUUGGAUCAUGAAAAUUCCAAUUUAACUCCAAAUCGAUCCUCGAACUCCGAAUCACCAUUUUAAGUCAUUCUGGCAUUUUAAAAUUCUCAAUUUCAUCUUAAAAUCUCUAUUUGGACUAGUUCGAGGCUUGAUUCAACUUAAUUGUACCAUUUGGUACAUUGCCGUCCUUUAACAAGUUUUGAGGUACCCAAAUAAGCAAACAUGCAUUCUUAUGUAGGAAUGGCAUAAUAAACAUAUUGUAGAGUAGGGCUUGAUAGCACUACCCCCUUAAAACAAAAUUUUGACCUAAAAAUUUCAUUUACUAAACUCAGAGAAAAUGUGGGGAUAUUUUUUUCUCAUCCAAUGCUUGACUUCUUAUGUCCUCCCCUUUAUAGGGAAUUUCGAUUUGUUCACCUCAUUUACCUCCAAUUUAACUCGAGUGCUUCACUUAUGUCUAUUAUUAUCCUUUAAAAUAAGAUCAACAGUAACCUUCACAAUUAUGAUCUCUUAUAUUGAGAUACCAAGCAUGCUUCUAUUACUAUCAUUAAACUUAAACCAUAACUCCAUCUCAAUCAUAUCAAUUUCGAUCGCAUUUUAUACUUAUUUAGGUAUACUAAUCAUUAUCUUAUUACUUCAUUCCAUAUCAAAUUUCUCGACUUUCAUUCAUUCAUUUCGUCCUCAUACAAUAUUGUGUAGUUUACAAUAUCAUUAACACACCAUACUCAUUCAUGUACAUAUCCUCAGCAUUGGGGAAGAUUAAUGGCUUCAAUUAUUUUCAUAUACUUCAUGUUUACCUUGCAUUUAGGAAAUUUCAAUCAUCUUAAUCCUAUUAAUCCAUCUCAUAUGGCUUAAUCGCACUAUAGAUUACAUUUCCUUAACUAUUUCCCCAAAAUUCCUUAGGUCGUCAUAAAUUGACUUCUUAUAAGAUUCUUGAUCGUUACAUUAUCUAUACAACUUAUCAAAUAUAUUGAGUUAAGAGCUCGAACCACUAAAACCAUUCUUCAUUUUAGUUGGGUACAUCACUAACUCCACACAUACAUAUACAUGCACAUUCAAAUGUCCGUAUUCCUCAUUAUGUAUAUGGGUCUCUGUUUUCAAAUGCCUUCAGACUAAUUUCUCUUUGUUCAUUCCCAUCCAUAACCAAGAUUCAAUAGAAUAGUCUUCGUAAUUCAUACAAAUUCUCAUCAUGCUUGUGCAUAGUUCCACAUCAUUACAUACUUAUACUCUCUUCUUAUCAUUUCCAAUUAUAUGCUUAAGUUUCCUUGUACUAUAUAUCAUUGCAUCACAAUGUCAUCUCCAUUGAAUUAUAAUCUAUUAUACGUGUAUGCUUUAUAAUCCCAUUGAUACUUCAAAAAAAUUUUCUUAACUCGAUCAUUGCAUCUUAUGCAAUACCACAAUUCCUAAGAGUCAUCCUUAUUCCUCGAUUAUCCUUCAUGCCUCUAUAUUACCUUGUAUCCUUCUUGCAUUCUGAUAUUGAUUUGUCACUUAAAACUCAAACUCAUCUGAAUCAUGUAUGCCUCAAGCAUUUUUUAAUUCCAAUUUUCAUAAUAUAUUAGGAAAGUUUCAUUAUCUGACUUCAUUAUCAAGGUCAACUUCAAUCAUCCUUUGUUCCACUCUUUCAUAUGAACAUAACAUCAUUCUCCCUUAACCAAUUUACAAAUUGUACUUGAAAUUGCAAGACUUGAAACUAGAUUCUCUUUAAGUACCUUUCAAUAUUAAUACUAAUAUCACUCUUAGCUUACAGCUUCCUUUUUAUAACCACAUAACUUAGUGCUUGCUUUCAAGAGAUCCAUGGCAGAACUUCUCUUGAAUAUUUCCUUGGGGAUAUCUAUCUUAAACUUAUGUCUCACAACAUGUGAUCACUUAACCUGUAACUUAGCCAUUUAUGUGGCAUCCCUUUCGGGGUCCACUCCGAGGUAUUGUUACGUCUGGGUCCCCAUCACUUGACUUACUCGCAUACGCCGCACCUAAAGGCGGCACGACAGGCCCUACAGGACCUUAUCGCCAAGUUUCGAAUCCCCAAACCUUUUGCUUCCCCUCGAAGGGAACGCCUUUAACCAUUCAGCUUUAACUCAUUCAUAUCAAUACCUUCCAAAACCUUAAAACUCCAGUUAAUAAAACUUAGAAGUAAGUUCAAUGAUUUUAGGUCAACUCAUAAGUUCAACUUCACAUCUGUCUCAUUUUAUUCAUGCGUCCUAGACAUAAAGUGUUCUUAGCAUCGCGGCACGGUGGCUGUUGGAGUUUACUUAAUCAAUGUUAUUCAUCUAUAUUUAAAGUUACUACACUAGUCAUUCUCAACCGUUUGGUUUCCUUCCAAGCUUACGUCAUAAUUUUCAUAACCAUUUAUAUCCUCUUAUGUUUAUCACAUAUAAUAGGUAAAGUUGAUAUUUUCAAAUUCAUCUCAUCCUAUAACACUAGUCAACAAUUAAUAAAUCCCACUUUAGAAUACUCUUUCUAUAUUGUAUAGUAACUUCACCAUAUAGUAUCAUGGCACUAUGUUCCUCCAUCUACUAUCAUGCAUAUUCCACAUAAAUUAAUUAAAAGAUUUACGUACCUUAACUAAUGCUAAUUCCAUUUAAUCAUAUCUUAAAUACUCCAAACUUGUAAAUUACAACUCCAAGUGUAUGUCCAUAGAUUGAUAAUCUUUAUAUAUUUCAUGAUCAUGAAAACUACAACUUACAAACUAGCUUUCUAUCAUAUGCACACUAUUAAAACAUUAAUUUCAACAUGUUUAAUUCUCCUUUAAUGGUAUGUUAAAAUCAUUCCUGGAUACAUUUCCAUAUUAACAUUGAUAUGCCUUUACCAUAGUAUUUAGUGCAAAUUUUGAUGAAGGAAUUGUCUCCAAAUAACUCUUAAAUACAUAAUUAUCAAAUUAUAUACCACUAAAUGUUAAGAUCUUGACUUUAUUCAUCAAUAACCAAUCACAUUUAUUAAGUGAAUAAUUUACUUAGUUAUUACACCUUGCCUUUUCGAUCAUAAGAUCAAAGUUGUCUUCAACUUAGGAUGCAGAAGUUCUCUCUUUUAGAGUAUAUCCAAACAUCAACAUUUUCUAAAUUCCUUACUCUGGGGAGAUCACCUUCAAGACUAAUCAUUCGUAUCAUAGGCCACACUUUGAACCGAAUAAACUUUUAAAUUGAUCUUUCAAGUAAUUUGUAUAUCAGUCUCAAUUAUAGAACUUCAUAUGUCACUUAAACUAGAUUCGACAUUUUCAAGUCAUUUAACCUCAACCUGCCAAUUCCACAUCUAGUCCUUUAAUCCCUUGGAUCGCCCUUUUUUUAUGCAUAGCAAAGUUCAAACUCAUCCUAAGAGCAGAUUUGUUUACUAAUUUCUUACUUCAUGACCACACAUCAAUUAUAGUAAUCAUUGAUACUCACUCUCGAGUUAAUUCACGUGCUUAUAUCCAUGAACUAUAAUAGGUCCAAUUAAUUCUUGAAAUCUCACGAUCGCUUAAUUGAAAUCAACACUUGUUCCCUCUAAGCUGUUGUACCAAUUCAACACAUAUUCACAUAUAAAAUAUUUCAAAAUCCCAACACCACUUUUAUAUGGGCAUAACAAGCUCAAUUAACAUAGUGUUCUUAUCUUCAUGCACAUAAGUAUGGGUUUACUCUUACCUCAAUACUUAAUUUAUACACUCCAAGUGAAUUACAACCAUCACUAUUCAUUCUAAUCAUAGUGCACCCCUUAUUACCAUUAUCACACGUGCUCUUUUAUAUUAACCCCAAUACAAUCCAUAGUCCCCAAAUCUUUUUCCAAUUGACAACCAUGAGUUUAAUUAUAACUCCACCAAAUGAAUGAAUUAUCAUGGCCUAUUAGUCCAACUCCAAAUUUCUCCAUCCUUAAUCAGAGGGAUAUAUCAUUUCAUUAAUCUUUCACUAAAAGCAUUCAUUUUAAGAUCUCUCUAACACUGGCUCAUGUCACGGGUGGCAUCUUAAACCCAAACAACGGCCCUACUUAUGACCUUUGCAUGACAUUAACAAAGAAGUGGAUUACUGGGAAUAGGAGUUCAUAUAGCUCCUUGUCUAUGACUUAUGCUCCCAUAAGUUCUAGAAGAAGAAACAUAACGAGUCUAAACAACUUCAAAUUCUAUAUGCAGUGCCACACUGACACUAUAGUUUUUAAAAUAACUUUAACACAACUUUAAACCAAAAGCUCUAAUCUUUAAAACCAAAAGCUCUGAUACUAACCGAAUUGUCACGACCUAGAACUCCCAUCAGGCCCGUGACAACCAUAGCGACGUCCCAAUAGACAUUCUUUACUCGGAAUGUCAAUCGAAACCUUGCAAGGCUUAACAUCAGUUUUUCCUGCUUCCCCUAUGAGUAUUAGUCACUAAAAUUAUGUUUUGAGAGAUUAUAAACAUUUUCCAAAUCAAAACAAUAGAAAAACAAUUUUUUUCUCACAGGGGCAUUUUGGUCAUUUUUCCUCAAAAAUCUCGAAAUCCGCUAAAAAUGUAGUAUGCGAGUACAAAACUCAUAAUUCAUAAUCAAAAAUAAGUUUAAGCAUCUAAAACCUUUAUUUAAAAUGAAAUUAUGAUUAUUUGGAUAUAAUAAAAAUAUUUAAUAAAAUAUUCUAUUUUCUUAUAAAACAAUAUUUAUAAAGUUACAAGUAAAUAAUUUUUGUAGCGUAAAAGCUAAAUAAAUUCAUACAUACUAUAAUUUAGAUAACCAAAGUAUAACAUUUAAUUUAUAGUGACACGUAGGCGCACGAACGACCAAAAGUAUCAAAAGAGGUAAACCUACAGUUUUUUAGGAUGCAAGUCCGACUGUAGCCCUCAGCGAAAUGAGCUAUCUACCGACUAUCCUGAGCCUGAAAUGGGUGGAAAGAAGGGUGGUGAGAUUAUAUAAUCCCAGUGAGUAAACAGAUACCAUCAAAAAUAUCUAAAACUGAGUAAAUGGAGACAGAUAGAAUAAUUUAACAUACUAUAAUUCAUCACCUUUCAACUUGUUUCAAACAAAUAAAAUCAAUUCAUAUAAAUCGAGUAAUCAACAUGGCUUAUAAAUUUCUUAAAACUUUGGCUCGUGCCAAAACCAUUCUCAUACCUAGUUAUCAGGGAUGCCUUGAUCAAGGGCUAUCCCAACCGAGUCUGCCAAGGUUGUUAAAAAGUUAUAUACACAUAAAUCAUGUUUUUAUUUUGAAAACAUAGCCGUUCCUUGGCGUUGGUCGAGUUCCCCUCACGUGGUGGUUGGGCGUGAAGUGAACUUUAAAGUUUGACCUCGGGAGUUACCCUACGCACCUUUCCAAUCGAGGUAUAUAUAUAUGACCAGGUUCCGUGACCCUUUAAUAGGUUGGUCCACAGAACCAGCCCACUGCAGCAAGCUAAACCCACCAUACAAUAAAAAUUCAACAGCAUGAUAUGACAAUUUUAUCAUUAUCCAGCCUAUCAAGGCAAACAACAGUUUAUGCAUUUCAACACAAAUACCAAUUCAACCAUUCAUGCCAAUAUUGUCAUAAGCCAAUCAAUUAGAACCAUAAAUUCACAAUACAUCAAAUGGUCUCCAAUUACUCUAUUUUCAAAGCCUUCAUUCAAUUUCAAGACCAUUUAUGAAAUCAUUUUAUUUAAACACAUUUUGUUUAUAAAACCUAAAAAUUUACCAUUUAAACUCAUUUUUCAUAAAAUCACAAAAUUGGAUAAAAACCACUCUAGAUAAUUAAGAUGAUAGUAAGGUUACUCACAAUGUCUAGAGUGUGAAUUUUCAAAGUACUCUGACUACUGGUCCUCGGAUGCAAUUUCCUUGCCUUUAUCGGAGGACUCGCCACCUUGACAUAGUACAAAAUUGAGAAACUUACUACAUUGGUACUAAAUCGAAAUUAAACUAAUUUAGACUAUUAAUGCAUGAUAAGGAAUGCAAAAUGCACGGGUAACCAUCUAAACCCGAUAUUGACCUAAUUCAUCUUAUCACACCGAUUAAUUGGCCAAUACGUCCAAUUUAGCUCCAAAUUGCUCCAUUUCUUUUCCAAUACCUUAAUUCACCAAACACAAAUCAAAUAACCUAAAAUUUGGCAAAACCAAAAUUCACUUUUUUUCUUAGCAUUUUUGGUUAAUAAUGGUGCAUUAACACUGUGAUUUUUCCUACUACUUUUCCACACCAUAAUUCAUCAUUUUCUAACCAAUUCUCUUAAAAUAAAAAAUCAAAUUCAUCCUCACUCAAUACAAGGUCGGUUCGGCCAUUGAUGGGUGAUGGGGAAAAUGAAUUCCUUUCUUGUUGUUUUGCUUCUAGACAUUAUAAACUAACUAAAAACACUAACAUAACUUGAAAUCAAAUCAAUCCAAUAUCAUUCUCUCUCCAUACCCAUUCAGCUAGCCAUGAAUUCGCCAUUAAAACAUGAAAUUUAACCAUGGAAAAUAAGGAGAAAUGCUUAAGGAAAAUAGAUUUCAAGUUUAAAUUGCGAAAUCCUACCUUUUUCACUAGUUUUCCUUGAUUUUCCACACUUUUUCUCUUGAAAUUCUCCACCUAGGGUUCAUGUUCUUUCUUUUCUUCCUUUGUUCUUCUUUGGCCCACCAUAUGAAUGAGAAAUAGGCUGAUUUUGUGCGAAUUUAUAAGGAAAAUAAUGAAUGGAUGAGAUUUUUGACACAUGUCACCAUUCCAUUGGUCCAUGUGUCAUACUUAGCCAUUAAGCAAUCUCUCUCCACCACUUAAAUUUUCUCAAUUAUCCAUGAUAAUAUUGGGUAAAAUUCAUGUGCUGGACAAGUUUUGGGUAGUGUAAAAUUAUAAUUUUUCCCUUGGGGCUUCAAAAUGACUAUUUUACCCCUAUGCUCAAAAAAAUGUCGGAAUUAAAAUUCUUCACUUCUCAAACUCAUAUUAUACUCCCAAUGAUCAAUCUUGAUCAAAAGCUUCUUCCAACAUUCAAAUUUUUAACCUCGGAUGGCAAAAUGACUAUUUUACUCCUAGAUCAUGAAAGUUCCAAUUUGACUCCAAAUCAGUCCUCGAACUCCGAAUCACCAUUUUAAGUCAUUCUGGGGUUUUAAAAUUCUCAAUUUCAUCUUAAAAUCUCUAUUUGGACUAGUUCGAGGCUUAAUUCAACUUAAUUGUACCAUUUGGUACAUUGUCGUCCUUUAACAAUUUUUGAGGUACCCAAAUAAGCAAACAUGCAUUCUUAUGUAGGAAUGGCAUAAUAAACAUAUUGUAGAGUCGAGCUUGACAUUAUUAGUCACCAUAUCAAAGUAUGGAGUAUUACAAACUACUUAACAAAUCUUUUAUAAUAUCCGACCAACCUUAGAAAGCUUUGUAUCGCAAUCACUAGGGUAGGCCUUGGCCAUUUCUCUAUAGCCUCAAUCUUUUUCAGGUCCACCAUCACACCUUCCUUAGAUACUAUGUAGGCUAAGAAGCUAACACUAUCAAGCUAAAACUCACAAUUGGAGAACUUGGCAUAUAACUCGUGCUCUCUCAAAGUCUGAAGCACUAUCCUCAAAUGCUAUUCAUGCUCAUCUCUACUCCUCAAGUAUACUAAUCUAUCAUCAAUAAAUACCACCACAAACUUAUCCAAGUAUGGCUUGAACACUCAGUUCAUCAUGUCCAUAAAAGCAGUUGGGGUAUUCGUAAGUUCAAAUGACAUCACCGAGAACUCGUAACGCCCAUACCUAGUAUAGAAGGUAGUCUUAGGCACAUCAUUUUGCCUAAUCCUUAACUGAUGGUAGCUUAACCUCAAGUCAAUCUUAGAAAAACAUUGGGCUCCCUGAAGCUAAUCAAACAAAUCAUCAAUGCAUGGUAAGAGAUACUUAUUCUUCUGAUAAAUUUUUUAUAUAGAGUUAUUUUAAUACAUUUUGGGAGCUUAAAUAGUUAGAUCUUUGAGAUUUUAAGUUUAGAUCGUAGCAAUUUAGGUGUUUUUCUAGUUUAAGUUUGAUUACAUGUUGAGUAGUUAAUUUAAGUUAUUUUAGUUAAAUUUUAUGUUAUUUUGUUUUAAAUUAUUCUAAGAGUAGUUAUUGCUAAUUUCUCUUAUUGCUUUUGUCACGACCCGAAACUCUCCUCGAGCCGGUGACAACCGUCGCGAUAUCCCGAUCGACACUCAUUAUCCAAAAUGUCAAUCGGAACCCCGCAAGGCUUUAAUAUCAGUUUCUCAUUUCCCUUGUGAGUAACCGUUGUCAAAUAUCAUGUUCUAAAAGAUUUUAAACUAAUUAUAACUUAAAACAAUAAAAAAAUAAUUUUCGUCUCACAAGGGUAUUUUAGUCAUUUUCCUCUAAAAAUUUCGAAACCAGCUAAUAAUGUAGUAUACGGGUGCAAAACACAUAUUUUAUAAUCAAAAAUAAAUUUGGAUAUCUAAAACAUUCGUUUAAAAUAAAAUUAUGACUAUUAUAAUAAAAUAAAAAUAUUAAAUAAAAUAUUCAAUUUUCUCAAAAAAUAAUAUUUUUAGAACACUGCAUAAAUAAUUUUUACAACGUAAAAGAAAAAUAUAUCAUAUAUAUCAUAACACAGUAAGCCAGAGUAUUUAAUUUAAUUUAUAGUAACAAGUGGGCCCCUGAAUAACAAAAGUAAGGAAGACUGUGAACCUACAGUUUGGAGGAUGCAAAUCCAAUGGUGGUCCUCGAUGAAAUCAGUUAUCUAUAGACUAUCUUGAGCUUGAAAUGGGUGGAAAGGAGGGUGGUGAGAUUAUAUAAUCUCAGUGAGUAAACAAAUACCAUCUAAAAUAUCUAAAGCCGAGUAAAUGGAGACUGAUAAAAUAGUUUAACAAAUUGUAAUUCAUCACUUUUCAACUUGUUUCAACCAAAUAAAAUCAAUCCUUAUAAAUCGAGUAAUCAACAUGGCUUAUGAAUUUCUUAAAAGUUUUGGCUCAUGUCAAAAUUAUUCUCAUACCCAGUUAUCAAGGAUGCCUUGAUCGAGGGCUAUCCCAACCGAGUCCUCCAAGGUUGUUAAAAAGUUAUGUACGCAUAAAUCAUGUUUUUAUUUUGAAAACAUAGACGUUCCUUGGUGUUGGCUAAGUUCACCCUCACGUGGUGGUUUGGCAUGAAGUGAACUCUAAAGUUAUACCUCGGGAGUUACCCUACUCGCCUUUCCAACAGAGGUAAAAUAUAACCGGAUUUCGUGCCCCUCUAAUAGGCUGGUCCAUAGAAC
Molecule: long non-coding RNA, 12697 nt
Filed under: Theobroma cacao (cacao)
Lineage: Eukaryota; Viridiplantae; Streptophyta; Magnoliopsida; Malvales; Malvaceae
Description: long non-coding RNA (TCAC_LNC000494)
Source: RNAcentral